This 254-nucleotide ribosomal RNA is filed under the name uncultured bacterium. RNAcentral's name for it is "partial 16S ribosomal RNA". It matches the Rfam family "Bacterial small subunit ribosomal RNA", at positions 524 to 776 of the family's 1533-position model. The record is from RNAcentral.
CACGUAGGGUGCGAGCGUUGUCCAGAAUUAUUGGGCGUAAAGAGCUCGUAGGCGGUGUGUCGCGUCGGCCGUGAAAACCUGCAGCUUAACUGUGGGCUUGCGGUCGAUACGGGCAUCACUGGAGUUCGGCAGGGGAGACUGGAAUUCCUGGUGUAGCGGUGAAAUGUGCAGAUAUCAGGAGGAACACCGGUGGCGAAGGCGGGUCUCUGGGCCGAUACUGACGCUGAGGAGCGAAAGCGUGGGGAGCGAACAGG